Molecule: long non-coding RNA, 3572 nt
Organism: Siniperca chuatsi (mandarin fish)
Lineage: Eukaryota; Metazoa; Chordata; Actinopteri; Centrarchiformes; Sinipercidae
Exons: 3
Source: RefSeq, a predicted model, not a curated record
GGAGGAGGGGUGAGAGUCACCGGAGGAAGCACAAGAAAGGCAAGGCGGGUUUUGUCACUGUCUUCACUGUGGCGUUAUAGCCAAGAGAAUAACGCAUCACGCACUGCCCAAAGCACGGCGCAGUGUGGGUGGAAGCAGACUGAUAAUGAAGACUGGAGGUGGGAUGGAGAUUGACAACAAACUAAGAUUUUCUGGGAAAAGAUGGCGGAGCGAAAGUUACCUGUUGGAGGAACUAAGUUAAGCCACGCCCCAUCCCGGAAGCACGUUUGACACUACGCACGAGCCCGCGGAGAGGAAACAAGAUAACAAGAGCAAAAGGAGAAAAGAGUGUGGAGCGAGCGGGAAACUCAGCUGAAGCUAAAUAAAAUAAAAUAAAGUUGAUGAAUUUGUAUGUGAAACCAAGCAACCCUGAGGAAAGCAGACAAGAACAGUGACCGAGGCGGUCCGGGGGCCAGUGUGCCGUCUGGGUGAGUGAAUCUUUAGCUACACUAGUGUGAUAGGAAUGUACAUUUUAGUUAUUUUCUAUUAUUUGGCUGCUAAUUGAGUUUUACACUAUUGCAUUAUCAUGUUAAAAUCUAUGCACUGCAGCCUGGCUGGUCUGAUUACAUACUGCCAGUGUUAAAAACAGUUUUAUUUGUGCAUAGGGAGAUAAUGUGAAAAAUGUAUGCACCUGAAUGUGACAUUCAUUAUAAAAAGAUCAGGUGUUAAAAAAAAAUGAAUGCUGUACUAUACAUCAGUUCACAGUUGAAGUUGUAUUGGUAAAAUGUUAAUAGCUAUAAUUCAUGGUUGAAAGAUUAAAAAUCAUAAUUCAUUACAGAUGUUAGCCCUAAAAUACCUAUUGCUUAUAUUGCAUUUAAAGAUUAUUUGGCUUGUAAGGUAUCAACCUAAGUGCGUUUCUAAGCUGUUUGUUGCCAAGGUGUACUAAAAGCUUAGACGUAAUAUGUGAUUUGCAGGAAAUAUCAUUUGUUUACUCAUACGUGGGUACAUGCUGUUUUAAGGUGCUUCAUUGGGAUUAACCCAGAGAAGGGAAAAAAGACCAGCCAGGGAAAAGUAGUGUCUCUCACUCAGGCUACGUCCACACUAAUACGUUUUCAUUUUAAAACGAAAACAAUCUCGGUACACACAAGUGUUUUAGCACUGUUUCAGAAAUAAUCUCUGUCCAUAUUAACAUGCCUAAAAAUGCAUAUCACAUGAACAUUCACGUGCACUGGGCAUGCACAUGCAAGUGUAAACAGGAAGCAGAUUGUCUACUCUGUGGGUGGUUGAUUAGUUGCAGAAAAUACUACGAACAAAGAACAGCAGUGGCGAAAAGUAAGACCAUAUUGAAUUAACCGCUGGUAGUCUAGGCUGAUUUUGUUUGUUUUCUUCUGGAAAAGGCUCACAUGAUGGGGGCAUGACGAAUCAGGGAAGGACACGUUGUGACUGAUAAGACCCAAUCAGGAAGUGAACGUGGCUGAUUGUGUUAGUAUUUUUAAAAGAGUUUUCAAACUGAAACACGGUCAGCAGCGUUUUCAAAAGUCUCAGUUUUAGGGGUCGGAAACGCCAGAGUAGUGGACGCUAGGCAUAAACGUAGCAAACGUUUUGCAUUUUAAAACGAAAACGUAUUAGUGUGGAUGCAGCCUUGGACAUUUAGAUGCCCACCAUCUGCCGAUUUAAAAGGACAUUUGAAGGCAUUACAAAUCAUGUUAACCUGCAAUCUGUUUAAUAGUGCUUUUAUAUUGUUUUUGUUUCAUUGAACAAAGUUUUGUACAGUAGUUUGCAAAGCAGUUAUGGAUGUUUAGACUCAUGAUAAAAUUUGGGAGGCAGCUCAGGAUAUUAAUAGGUUUACAUUGAUGCCCUGAGACAGGGCAUGCACUUUAAGAAUGAAUGAAAGAAAUGGUUUCUAUUUAGAGUUCAAAUUAAACUUUUGUCAUACAAUGCUGCCUUUGAAUAAAUGUUCAGUUCCAUAAAGCUCUUUUGUGCUACAGUAGGUAUUUUAUGGGUUAUGCAUUUUUAUUGUAAAACUGAGCUAAUUUUUGAUGAUGAUAUAGAUGAUGAUCUAUAUACUAGAUCAUUAAGAUUAAAGACACAUUGUUAUUUACAGCAUAUGUCUGCAAUUUACAGUUGUUUUUAUUAAUAUGAAUAUGAAGACAUAUUUUCAGUAGUUUACUGUAAUACAUACAGGUAGAAACUGUUAAUGUAGAUUACAACAGCAACUAGAAAUACAGUUUAUUACUGGCACGACUAGCUACAGUAUUACACUGUAAACCUCACAUUCUACUGUAGACUGCUGUAAUACAUUUUACGGUAAUAUACUGGGACACCAUGAAAUAACGGUACAUUGCUGACAACUAGAGCUGCCAGUAGUUUACUGUAAUUUAUUACAGUGUAUUAUGGACUUGGGAGGAGAGAUGACAUACCACUGACUAAUUUCAGUGGGACAACACAUACUGUACAUCCAGUUACAUAUGUCACCAUAAAAUACACUUUUAUCGUUCCAUAUUUAUUAAAGCAAUAAAAUUGAAGAUGAUUUAACUGUAAUGCGCAGAAGUAACAAGGUCUUUUUUUUGCACGGAGGAUGUGAUAGAGGAUGCUGUCAUCUAUGACACUGACGGUGAAGGACACUAUGUGAUUGAAUAAGUCACAGUUUGGGUCUAAUUAUACGUUGGCUGCAGUGCAAACGGUUUGCUGGAGAAGGUGCUGUGCAGCAUGUGGGAUGGGACGUGGGACGGGACAUGGAGGUCUAUUUUAUGUGAAAUAAACCGUGUCAGGGUAAGGGUGGGCCGGGUUUACUCACUACUGAGUCCUCCCUUCAUGACACAGGUCAAGGCCAGGUCCACCAUGAUGCACAUCAUCUGUUCCUAAGUGAACAAACACUCACCAAAACCUGCUCCAUGGAAGGUCAUCUGCAGCCCCAAGCUGUGAGCGCAGCGCGGGGCAUACGUUGCGUGUCUGGAAUCACACUGUUUCUUGGCUGUGGUAUAGUAAUUUGGCGAGGCAGACAGCUCACCAAUCAGGCAUUAGUUGCCUCCACGGGUUGCUGUGGGACAGAUAAGGUCGCGUGUGUGUGUGCCUGCAUAUAAUGUAUUCACACUGUUCUUGGCCCCAGGAUAACUGGGGGAGGCAGCCAGCUCACCAAACAGACUCCAUCUUCAGGGAGACUGUAGGAGUGUGUGUGUGUGUGUGUGUGUGUGUGUGUGUAAUGUAAUAAUGAACCAUCCAAACACAUAGGCAGAAACAAAAUGCAUAAAUGUAUGUAACGACAUACACACACAUACAGAUCCCGUCCCUUACAUCCUCUCACCAGCCUGCUGUGUCAAAGUGAAUCACGGGCACGCUGGCAUUUGAACUGGUGUAAACACAGCAUGUUCAAAGGAUCUGUCCUGUCCCCAAAAAAAUGUGUUGCUGACUCCGUCCAUAACCCCCACUCACACUCACACACAGUGCUGAAGACCCUGUGUGUGUGUGUUUCUGCCCACUGGGUACAUCAGGGUUGAGCCUUGAAAAACUGGGUGUUGAGUGGUUUUUGACACAUUGAUGUCUUUCUGAAAUUGACUUUCUGAAAGUUUUAUGUGUUUAGGUGUUUUUUUUCU